GAACGCACCUUGCGCUCCCUGGUAUUCCGGGGAGCACGCCUGUUCGAGUGUCGUGAACACCUCAACCCUCUAAUGUUUUUGCAUUGAAGGCGUUGGUAGUGAGCGCUGCCGGUCUUUGGGUCGGCUCGCUUUAAAAUAAUUAGCUGGAUCCAUUCUGACCUGGUUCUACUCGGCGUAAUAAGUUAUUAUCGUCGAGGACGCCUAGCCUUCUAGGCAGGCGGCCACAGUAAGGGUGUUUGAACCGCUUCCAACACGUCUUGCUCUUGUAGCAAACACUUGAACUUCUGACCUCAAAUCAGGCAGGACUACCCGCUGAACUUAAG
This 323-nucleotide unclassified non-coding RNA is filed under the name uncultured Geminibasidium. RNAcentral describes it as "sequence contains 5.8S rRNA gene". The stretch from base 1 to 53 matches the Rfam family "5.8S ribosomal RNA", at positions 102 to 154 of the family's 154-position model. The record is from RNAcentral. Lineage: Eukaryota; Fungi; Basidiomycota; Geminibasidiomycetes; Geminibasidiales; Geminibasidiaceae.